ACCCAGGUCAGGGACGUUUCUGCUUUUGCCUCUCCUUCCCUCCCUGGCCUCCUUGGGAAGGCGUGGCCAGACCUGGGUUCCGAGAGGCUGUGUGGGCCUUUUCGAGGCUGGACUAGAGCAGAGAGGACGCUCAAGUCCACAGAGCAAGUGGGGGUCCCUGCCUCCUUGGGGCAGCUCCCCGAGCUGAGCCUCCUUCCUUCCUGACAAUGCGGAAACUGAGGCUCAGAGAGGACGUUCCUGCCCGGGUCCUAUGAGACUCAAAGCUGCCCCCCAGCCGGAACAGUUGUGUCACCCAACAGCUUUCUGGUGUGUCUCCUGCCACCUAAUGUCACGGCGAUUGUGUUCGUGUGUGUGUCCUCAGCCAGCCUGGGACGCCUAGUAGGGCAGCGGCUGCGUCCGUCCUACUCGUCGUCUGUCUGCUGCCGCAGAAGGCCCGGCACACCCCCGGUCCCGGAGAGACGGAUGAGGAAACCGAGGCUCAGAGAUUUGCGAAGGCCUCACAGACAGGAAGGGGCAGAAAGCAGAUCUGAUCGACUCCCAAGCAGGAGACACGUCACUGGACGGCACGCCCACUUCCCCACCAGGGCAGGCCAGCCCUCUGCCCCAGCCGCAGAGAGGAGAGGGGCCGGGCUGAUAAAGGGCCAUCUGGAGGCCAGGUGGGAGCCAUCUCAUCCUGCCAGGUAACGGCCACACAAGCCUCCUGGGCCCCCACAAGCCUCUGGGGCCCUCUGGGUCCUCACCCCACCAGCGGGGCAUCCGCAGAAUUGGUUUCCCAGGCCGGAGGGUCCCCCAUCGGCUCAGCAGCUGUCAGCAAUAAGAACGAGAUGAGGAAAGAAAUCCAUAAACUGCGGUUUUGAAAAACCUG
Long non-coding RNA from Eptesicus fuscus (big brown bat), 865 nucleotides. RefSeq lists it as uncharacterized. NCBI's taxonomy places the organism in Eukaryota, Metazoa, Chordata, Mammalia, Chiroptera, Vespertilionidae. The transcript is spliced from 3 exons. The record is from RefSeq and is a predicted model, not a curated record.